Anas platyrhynchos (mallard) is the source of this 261-nucleotide non-coding RNA. Lineage: Eukaryota; Metazoa; Chordata; Aves; Anseriformes; Anatidae. The record is from RefSeq and is a predicted model, not a curated record.
GGGGGGGAGAGCUGGCGGGCAGCCAGCUGCCAUCAGAAUUAGCUCAUUGUUCAAUAUAAACCAGCGCUGGCAACCAAAACCCAGCCCGAGAGGGAGAGGGAGAGAGAGAGAGACUUUCCCCCAGCCACCCCCACCCCUUUUUCUCCAAGGCUGCACUUUGGAAGAGAUCAUGUAGAAAGGACAGAAAGUGAGCAGGGAGCGGGGGCUUUUGUCUAUCCUUGUGCUACCUGAGAGAAACUGCAGUCCCAAGACUUUACAGUC